GACGAACGCUGGCGGCGUGCCUAAUACAUGCAAGUUGAGCGCUGAAGGUUGGUACUUGUACCAACUGGAUGAGCAGCGAACGGGUGAGUAACGCGUGGGGAAUCUGCCUUUGAGCGGGGGACAACAUUUGGAAACGAAUGCUAAUACCGCAUAAAAACUUUAAACACAAGUUUUAAGUUUGAAAGAUGCAAUUGCAUCACUCAAAGAUGAUCCCGCGUUGUAUUAGCUAGUUGGGGAGGUAAAGGCUCACCAAGGCGAUGAUACAUAGCCGACCUGAGAGGGUGAUCGGCCACAUUGGGACUGGGACACGGCCCAAACUCCUACGGGAGGCAGCAGUAGGGAAUCUUCGGCAAUGGACGAAAGUCUGACCGAGCAACGCCGCGUGAGUGAAGAAGGUUUUCGGAUCGUAAAACUCUGUUGGUAGAGAAGAACGCUGGUGAGAGUGGAAAGCUCAUCAAGUGACGGUAACUACCCAGAAAGGGACGGCUAACUACGUG
RNAcentral lists this ribosomal RNA (497 nucleotides) under uncultured bacterium. RNAcentral's name for it is "partial 16S ribosomal RNA". It matches the Rfam family "Bacterial small subunit ribosomal RNA", at positions 28 to 507 of the family's 1533-position model. The record is from RNAcentral.